AUGGCCAUCCUGUAUUUUAAAGAUAGCAUGCAUGUGUUUUUCUUAACAAAUAUUCAUCGUGUAUUAAAAAGAAGUCUUCAUGGUGUCUUAGAAAAAGACCAUGAAUCGCCCCCUCUUCCCCUGGAUCGCGUCCAGGCUCAUGCGUUCAACACCCCCGCGCUACAUCGUGUUGCAUUGAUUCCAUCUUCCUCGGCUCCUCACCUCCCAAAAGCAGACCAUCAGUGCACAAUCACCUCUCCGGUGACAUCGCCGGUCUUCCCUAUAGGCAACUCCAGUUUCUUUGCAAAAUCUCCGCUAAUGCCGCGGGCGACGCCGCGUGCGGCCUCUGCCGCCGGUGACCAGCGGGUAGGCGGUCGGUUUUGGGCGUUGGCGGACGGCGCAGGAGAUUCGGAGGACGAUGGCGCGGAACCGGACGGCGAGGAGUCUCCGGCGGGCUCGCCGACGCCGUCGGACGCGAUCUGCGAGGCUUUCCGGGUCGGUUAUUCCGAGGAUGAGGUGGCAUUGCUUGUCGACCUAGCGAUUCCUCGAGACGAUCCGGCGAGGGCAGGCCUGAAGGAGGAGGACAACGUCGAGGUUGUUCGCCGCGUCGUUCAUCGUCGCACGGCGGCUUCGGCUCUCCGGCCAUGGCACGGUCCUCUUCCCAAGGUAUGUCUUCCUAAACCAUCUCUGGCAGAUUUUUUUGAAGCGGGUGCUUGGAAGAGGGUUACGAGGAAGAAAAAGAAACGGACGGCGGCGGCGGCCGGCCGGAAGCUGGCGGCGCCGGCGGCGUCGGUCGGGAUCGCCGCCGCGAGGGAGGCGCGUUUGCAAUUGCUGUUGGGCGCGGAUGGGCCGCUCGUGACCUCCGGGCCGCCUUCGGCUGGGUAUGAGGCCCAGUGCGAAGCGGCUGCGGGCCAAGCCGAGCGGCUAUCACUUGGGCCGGCGAGUUCUUGUGGGCCACGGUGUGGUGGGUAUGAGGCCCAGCCGGAUGUGGAUACGAUAAAUCCUGAGGAAAGGGGCGCAUGCACAACUCGUUCGUCUUCGUCUGUACCAGCGCCGUGCCCUAGGGUUCGUCGCUCGCCAUCCCUACGUACGGCCGGACCUGGACGAGCUCGUCGCAUCCCCCCUCUCGGCGCCAUGGUGGGCUCGGGAGGCGCGCCCCCUUCUAGGCGGCCGCCUGCGCCCAGCGGGGCGGGUCGGGUCUCCGGGGUAGCGCCGCCGGGUCAAGGCAAUGGAAGGGGCGCUCCGCCGCCGGGCCAAGGCAAUGGCCGGGGCACGCUGCCGCUUCCGGAGUCGGGCGUUGGUCGUGGUGGCGUGCUGCUACCCAAGAACGCAGCGGGUCGCGGGUCGGGUAGACCUGAGGCGGCGCGUGUUGCUGUCGGGACGCCCGUGGGGAGGCCGCCGGCUCCGGUGGUGCCGUCGGGUGGUCGUGGUGGACCGGGUUCCGGCCCUAGACCGGUGGUUGAAGGCGCUGCGACGGUUAUAGCUGCGGGCAAGGGGGCCGCGCCACCAAGGGCCCCCGCGCCGUCGGGUCCGACGCCUAGACCGGCUCCUCCUCCACACGUCGUUGCUCGUCCAUCUCCGUCGUCGCAGACCAACGGUACUGGUACUGCGCCCCGGGGUCAGUGGGGGGACGACGGCUACGAUGCCUACGGAACUGGCCAGCACCGUGGUUCUUCGUCCACGGGAGGCGGUCGUGGCUAUGCAUGGCAAAGCGAUGGCUCGGUUGAGAGGCCGGGGGCGGAGGAGGUGAGUCGGCAGGUGGCCACUCCCUCUUCUGGUCAGCACGUGGUUCCCCCUCUGGAGAUGCCGCAGCCUACCGGGCCCCGUGUGCAGGGAGGAGCUAUAGGCCAGGCGGUCUCGGGCUCUUGUUGUGCUGAGGACGGGGAUGCGGGGCAGGUGGCUCCCGUGUCCUCUCCUACGCUGGGAGGAGGUCUGGGUCAGGAGGACUCGGAUACUUCUUCUCUCGUUGCGAUUUCUUCUCGGACGGUGUCGACUUCGCCCUCGGGAGUGGGCUCGGGGCAGGUGGCCUCGGGGCUCUCUCCUAUGGUGGCGGCCUCUCCGGUGCAGGUUGGGGAGCCAGGACGGGAGGUCCUGGCUAUGUCUCUACAACCAUCGGUGAUGCCCUCGUCUGCCCUGCCGCCUAACCCCUCUGGGCCCGCUGCCUGCACGCUCACUCUCGCCGCUGACUUCUCCUUCGUCUUCCUCCCCUCCCAUUGCCGCUGGACCAUCCAGGACGUCCGCGACGGCCGCGUCCUCCUCAACCGCGACCCCAGAGAAGAUGAGCGGUCUCCGGUCUUCCGCGAGCUCGCGCUAAUUGUUCUUAUUAUUCCCAUUGGACUAGCCCCAGUAGCAUGUGCAAAUUCGAAUCCGCUCACCACACAUAUCACGUUCGGGCAAAUACCCAACUCACCGGAGGCCUAUGUAUUCUGCAAGCACGCAUGCCCCCACAGCACCUCUGUAUAUCACGAAAAACUAUCGGAUGGAUGGUUUUCAACUUUCAAGUUUGAACUUUCUGUUGGGCAUUUGCUGGGCCCGGAAACUGAGCCUGUUAUUGCCGUCGAGGGCCGUUUCGGCAUCCCUCCAGCAGCCCAGCAGAGAGAAAAUCACUCGACUAACUCACACAGCCGACGGCUCGUCCCCAUUCCCAAUCUGUCGAGGUUGUGCCCGAUUGGCACGGAACAGAGGAACGAUGAACGAGCAGGGAGGUUGUGCCCGAUUGGCUCGGAAGAUAGGAAUGAUGAACGAGCAGGGAGGGUGUGCCCGAUUGGCUGGGAAGAGAGGAACAAUGAACGAGCAGGGAGGGUACAACUAACAUGUGUGCCGCUGGAGCUGACGACCACUGUUCGCCACCAGAACGAGCUACUGGUAACAUUAUGUGCAAGGCUUGCUGCGCUGCCCAAGGUUAUGACAAGGAUAAGAGCAGUUGUUGUCAAGGCAGUAGUAGCUCCUGCUGCUGUGUAA
This 2940-nucleotide ribosomal RNA is filed under the name Triticum aestivum (bread wheat). RNAcentral describes it as "partial small subunit ribosomal RNA". Lineage: Eukaryota; Viridiplantae; Streptophyta; Magnoliopsida; Poales; Poaceae. The record is from RNAcentral.